Molecule: ribosomal RNA, 118 nt
Filed under: Echinops telfairi (small Madagascar hedgehog)
Lineage: Eukaryota; Metazoa; Chordata; Mammalia; Afrosoricida; Tenrecidae
Source: RNAcentral
AGAAGUGAAUAUACCACCCAGAAUGUGCCCAAUCUGUUCUGGUCUCGGAAGUUAAGGGUUGGCCUGGUUAGUACUUGGAUGGGAGACCACCUGGCAGUAACGGGUGCUGUAGCCUUUC